AGUGAACGCCGGCGGUAGGCCUAACACACGCAAGUCGAACGGCAGCACAGUAAGAGCUUGCUCUUACGGGUGGCGAGUGGCGGACGGGUGAGGAAUACAUCGGAAUCUACUUUUUCGUGGGGGAUAACGUAGGGAAACUUACGCUAAUACCGCAUACGACCUACGGGUGAAAGCAGGGGAUCUUCGGACCUUGCGCGAUUGAAUGAGCCGAUGUCGGAUUAGCUAGUUGGCGGGGUAAAGGCCCACCAAGGCGACGAUCCGUAGCUGGUCUGAGAGGAUGAUCAGCCACACUGGAACUGAGACACGGUCCAGACUCCUACGGGAGGCAGCAGUGGGGAAUAUUGGACAAUGGGCGCAAGCCUGAUCCAGCCAUACCGCGUGGGUGAAGAAGGCCUUCGGGUUGUAAAGCCCUUUUGUUGGGAAAGAAAAGCAGCAGGUUAAUACCCCGCUGUUCUGACGGUACCCAAAGAAUAAGCACCGGCUAACUUCGUG
Molecule: ribosomal RNA, 492 nt
Filed under: uncultured bacterium
Lineage: Bacteria
Description: partial 16S ribosomal RNA
Rfam family: Bacterial small subunit ribosomal RNA
Source: RNAcentral